AGCGGCGAACGGGUUAGUAAUAAAUGGGUAAUUUGCCCCUAAGUUCGGAAUAGCCAUCGGAAACGAUGAUUAAUGCCGGAUGUGAUCGGUCUUCGCAUGAAGACCUCUUUAAAGGCGGGGAAUCUUCGGAUCCUGUCGCUUAGGGAUGGGCCCAUUUCCUAUCAGCUAGUUGGUGAGGUAACGGCUCACCAAGGCUUACGGGUAGCUGGUCUGAGAGGAUGAUCAGCAACACUGGGACUGAGACACUGCCCAGACUCCUACGGGAGGCUGCUGUCGAGAAUCAUUGUCAAUGCACGAAAGUGUGAACAUGCGACGCCGCGUGGAGGAAGACGGCCUUUGGGUUGUAAACUCCUGUCAGCAGGGAGUAAGGGUGGUAUACUUAAUAUGUAUGCCAUUUGAUAGUACCUGCAGAGGAAGUCACGGCUAACUCUGUGCCAGCAGCCGCGGUAAUACAGAGGUGGCGAACGUUGUUCGGAUUUACUGGGCGUAAAGGGUCCGCAGGCGGUCCGGUGUGUCAGAUGUGAAAGCCCACAGCUUAACUGUGGAAUUGCAUUUGAAACUGCCGGACUAGAGUACUGGAGGGGAGAAGGGAACACUUGGUGUAGCGGUGAAAUGCGUAGAUAUCAAGUGGAACACCGGUGGCGAAGGCGCUUCUCUGGACAGAUACUGACGCUCAUGGACGAAAGUUAGGGUAGCGAAAGGGAUUAGAUACCCCUGUAGUCCUAACCGUAAACGGUGUGCGCUAGGCGUGGGUGGCUUUACCCCCAUCCGUGCCUGAGCUAACGCAUUAAGCGCACCGCCUGGGGAGUACGGUCGCAAG
This 820-nucleotide ribosomal RNA is filed under the name uncultured Planctomycetota bacterium. Its description in RNAcentral is "bacterial SSU rRNA". It matches the Rfam family "Bacterial small subunit ribosomal RNA", at positions 94 to 892 of the family's 1533-position model. The record is from RNAcentral. Lineage: Bacteria; Pseudomonadati; Planctomycetota.